CCUACGGGGGGCUGCAGUGAGGAAUCUUGCACAAUGGGCGAAAGCCUGAUGCAGCGACGCCGCGUGUGGGACGAAGGCCUUCGGGUUGUAAACCACUGUCAGUGGGGAAGAAGUAUGACGGUACCCACUGAGGAAGCUUCGGCUAACUACGUGCCAGCAGCCGCGGUAAGACGUAGGGAGCGAGCGUUGCCCGGAAUUACUGGGCGUAAAGAGCUCGUAGGCGGGGGCGUGCGUCCGAAAGGAAAUCUCAGGGCUCAACCCUGGGGCUUUUUCGG
This 275-nucleotide ribosomal RNA is filed under the name uncultured bacterium. Its description in RNAcentral is "partial 16S ribosomal RNA". It matches the Rfam family "Bacterial small subunit ribosomal RNA", at positions 338 to 629 of the family's 1533-position model. The record is from RNAcentral.